UUUUGGACAUUGGUGUUUAAGAUAAAUUAUUAUUUACUCUAUGAAUAUUAUAAUAUUUACAGUUUCAUCCUUAAUUUACAAUUAUUUAUAAUUUCUUCAUCUACUUCUCUCUCUCUGCAUAUCUCUCUCUCUCAUUUAUCUGUUUCUCAGUCUCUCUCCCAUCUUUUUCCUCUCUUUCCCUUAUUUCUCUGUCUUUUUUUGUUCCCUCUCCAUCCCAUCAAAGAGAGAUAGAUACAGAAGAGAGAGAAAAGUAGUGAGGGAGAGAGAUGGAUAGAAAUGUGACAGGGUGGACAAAGAAGAAAAUGGGGGGAAGCGGAAGAAACAUUAAUGAGAGAGAGAGAGACAGACAGAAGAGAGAUAAAAAUGAGAGGGAGAGGGGCAAAGUGAUGUAAAGAAACAACAAAUAAUUAUAAAAUUAAAGGAUAAAUUAUAAAUAAUUGUAAUAUAUAAAUAUAUAGUGAUUAGAAAGAUGUGAGGUUUCCUUGUCCCCAAUCCGACAAGAGCAAAGAAGAGUACAGAAAGAAGCAUGCUCAUAAUGUCAAAAAACAGACAAAAGAAAUGGUUCCUCCUCAUUUCUCAAUCCUCAUCUAUCUAUAUUCUAUCUCUUUCAAACCUAAUAAUUUUACCAAAUCAUCCCAUUUUCGCAACACACCAAACCCAUUUUACCAUUCAAUCCAAUCCAUUAACCGUACCCUUUCUAUUCCAACAAUCAUACCUCGGCCAUGGCUACUUCUUCCAUGGCUGAGACCGCCAGCACCAGUGGAUCAUCAUCUUUAUCAUCUCCAAUUAUUAACUUGGCUCCUGACCAUCUCUUCUCAAUCUUACUUCUACUUCCCAUAGAUUCGAUUCUCUCGUUUUCUAUGACCUGCAAGAGAUUCAGGUCCUUCACAAGCUCUGAUGCUUUCUGGGAGUCCAUUUGCAAGAGAGACUGGGGACCCACAUCAGUUGAUGCCCUUAAGUCUUCUGCCAAUAAUCAAAACUUGUCAUGGAUGAGGUUGUACAAGCAGGUCUCGCAGCUUGACUCGGUUACUUGCCAUAAGUUGUCUGACGCAGAUCCUGAAUCGGUGCUUCCUAAACCCAGGGCUUCUCACUCUCUCAACUCUGUGUCUGAUUGCUUGGUUUUGUUUGGUGGUGGCUGUGAAGGAGGACGCCAUCUUGAUGACACAUGGGUGGCAUAUCUAGGGAAUGGUGUUCGAAGGACCUUCAAGUGGCAGAAGGUUGAUUCAGGAGUUCCAAGUGGCAGAUUUGGGCAUACAUGUGUUGUUUUUGUCCAUCACCUUGUCCUCUUUGGAGGGAUUAAUGAUUGUGGGAUCCGUCAAAAUGAUACAUGGAUUGGGCAACUAGUCUUUAGUGAUAACCUCUGUAUCUCACUCUCAUGGAGACUACUCAAUGUACAAUCCCAUGCACCACCACCACGAGGGGCUCAUGCUGCAUGUUAUUUUGAUCAAAGGAAGAUGGUUAUCCAGGGAGGAAUUGGGUUGCACGGCGUUAGAUUAGGUGACACUUGGGUUUUGGAACUUUCAGAAAAUCUUUGUUUUGGAACAUGGCACGAACUUGUUGCUCAUCCAUCACCUCCUCCUCGUUCAGGACACUCAUUAACGUGCAUUGGAGGAACUAGAAUGGUUUUAUUUGGUGGAAGAGGAUUGGGAUAUGAGGUGUUAAAUGAUGUUUGGCUGUUGCAGAUAUUUGAUGGUCAGCUAAAAUGGGUGCAGAUGUGUUUUGAAUUGCAAAACAUACCUGAAGGAGUCUCGCUCCCACGAGUUGGUCAUUCAGCUACGCCAAUUUUGGGAGGUCGGGUGCUAAUAUAUGGAGGUGAAGAUUCAUACAGACGUAGGAAGGAUGACUUUUGGGUGUUAGAUAUUAGUUCAAUUGUAUACACUCAAGUUCAGCCAACUGCAUUGCGUGCAAAUAUGUGGAAAAGGUUGAAGUCAAAAGGUUAUAAACCAAACAGCAGGUCAUUUCAUCAAGCUUGUGCUGAUAAUUCAGGGCGUCAUUUGUACAUGUUUGGUGGGAUGGUGGAUGGCUUACUUCAACCUACUGAGGCAUUUGGGUUGACAUUUGAUGGGGAGCUCUUCCUUGUGGAACUUUGUUUUAAACAGGAAUAGAAAGGUACUAGCCUAUCAUGGAGUACUUUUGAGGAUGCUGUUCUAUUAUAGGCUUAGGCUUGCAUAAAAUAGUUCUCUCAUAUGCCACAUUAGUUGCUGUCCAUAUGUUUCAUGCAUCAAUAUUUAUAGUAAUAAGUGGCUUUUAGGACUUGUUUAUGAUGUUGAAAUAAUCUUCUAUAUAUAAAGAGAACUUUACUAGAGUUCAACAGCAUAUUGCAUGCCUGUUGUGGUGGAUAUUUUAUAUACGCCAAAAUAAUGUCUCUUGUGUACAGCAAAUAUGAGCUUUUAUAUACAACAAAAAGGAAAAGGUCAUAUGUUGGCAACUUUCUAUCCAAUCCAUAAAGGAGCUUUCUAUACCCAAAAAAAGAAAAAGGGAAGAAGAAUAAGUCAUUCAAA
This 2501-nucleotide unclassified non-coding RNA is filed under the name Hevea brasiliensis (rubber tree). Lineage: Eukaryota; Viridiplantae; Streptophyta; Magnoliopsida; Malpighiales; Euphorbiaceae. The record is from RNAcentral.